RNAcentral lists this ribosomal RNA (253 nucleotides) under uncultured bacterium. RNAcentral describes it as "partial 16S ribosomal RNA". It matches the Rfam family "Bacterial small subunit ribosomal RNA", at positions 524 to 776 of the family's 1533-position model. The record is from RNAcentral.
GACAGAGGGUGCAAACGUUGUUCGGAAUUACUGGGCGUAAAGCGCGUGUAGGCGGCAGCGUAAGUCGGGCGUGAAAUCCCACGGCUCAACCGUGGAAGUGCACUCGAAACUGCGCAGCUAGAGUCCUGGAGAGGAAGGUGGAAUGCUUGGUGUAGAGGUGAAAUUCGUAGAUAUCAAGCGGAACACCGGUGGCGAAGGCGGCCUUCUGGACAGUGACUGACGCUGAGACGCGAAAGCGUGGGGAGCAAACAGG